This is a non-coding RNA of Apodemus sylvaticus (European woodmouse), 438 nucleotides long. The record is from the annotation of a RefSeq genome assembly. Lineage: Eukaryota; Metazoa; Chordata; Mammalia; Rodentia; Muridae.
UUUUAAAGUGGUGUACUUAUGAGAAUAGAAGUAAUUAGCCAGAGACCAAAAUUCAAAUACACAAUGGAUUUUUGGGUUCAGAUUUUCAGCUUCCUGCUAAUCAGUGUCACAGGAUCCAGGGGAGAAAUUGUGCUCACCCAGUCUCCAACAACCACGGCUGCAUCUCCAGGGGAGAAGGUCACCAUCACCUGCAGUGUCAGCUCAAGUAUAAAUUCCAAUUACUUGCACUGGUACCAACAGAAGCCAGGAUCCUCCCCUAAACUAUUGAUUUAUCGCACAUCCAACCUGGCUUCUGGAGUCCCAGGUCGCUUCAGCGGCAGUGGGUCUGGGACCUCUUAUUCUCUCACAAUCAGCACCAUGGAGGUUGAAGAUGCUGCCACUUAUUACUGUCAGCAGGGUAGUAGUUCCCCAUCCACACAGUGAUACAGACUUGAGCAA